UGGCAUGAGGCCAAGGAGAAGAUUAUUAGCAAUGUCACGGCAGAAGAUCAAAAUCACAAUUUGCUGACCACCUACCAGCAAGGAAGGCAGGAGACUGAGAAGGCAGAAGACCUUGACAUUAAUUUGAAAUAAAUGUCCACAAGCAUCAUGAUCGGGCAGUUCUUUGUCCUGCCACCUCAUGAAAACCAGCAGUGAGUUGGAAGCAAUGACAAAGCGGGGAGAGACCCCCUCCCCCAUUUUACAGUGAAGAGAUGAAGACCCGAG
This is a long non-coding RNA of Mustela erminea (ermine), 264 nucleotides long. RefSeq lists it as uncharacterized. NCBI's taxonomy places the organism in Eukaryota, Metazoa, Chordata, Mammalia, Carnivora, Mustelidae. The transcript has 3 exons. The record is from RefSeq and is a predicted model, not a curated record.